This is a long non-coding RNA of Cyprinus carpio carpio, 407 nucleotides long. NCBI's taxonomy places the organism in Eukaryota, Metazoa, Chordata, Actinopteri, Cypriniformes, Cyprinidae. The record is from Ensembl.
UGUUGAUCUGAAUAAAUCUCUAGGAGGAGUUCGUUAAAGUACAACCCCUGAAAAUGGCAAAAACGACACAAAUUUUGCAGAGAAAAUUCAAAAUAACUGACUUCCUGUUGGGAUUCGAAUUUCGUACCAAGAGACUUUUUUGUAGGUAUUGGUGUGUUACAUGUGUGUACCAAUUUUUGUACAUGUACGUGAAACGUAGCUCGAGGCACACUCCGUUAAACAUGUAUAGGUGGCGCUAUCGAGGCAUUUUGCCACACCCGAUGGAAUAUUGGCCUUCAGAUGUGUUCAGGCCAGGACUCUUAUCAAACAUGUGAAGUUUGGGCAAGAUCGGAUGUUUUAUGCCUGAGUUAGAAUAACAUUUAUUCCCAUGGCGAGACAUCGAACUUUGUCACGGCGCCAUGGACACG